This is a long non-coding RNA of Papilio xuthus (Asian swallowtail), 678 nucleotides long. RefSeq lists it as uncharacterized. Lineage: Eukaryota; Metazoa; Arthropoda; Insecta; Lepidoptera; Papilionidae. The transcript is spliced from 3 exons. The record is from RefSeq and is a predicted model, not a curated record.
CGACGGACGCGCGCUCUGCUCUCGUCUACAUCGCAUACGAAGUGAUGUGAAGUUAUUUUGUUUUGUUUUAUUUCGUUGAUUUACGUAUACGAAGAAUUUAAAUCAAGUGAUCAGUGAAAAGUUUAUAAAAACCUUUAAAAUUUGUGUAGUAAUUAUUGACAAAGUUCUUCAAACUUGGACGAGAUAUGAAGUUAAUGACAAUACACACUGAGUUCCAAGGAUCAUUAUGCAUGAAGAAGAUUUGAAGACAGAAAGAGUAGAGUUCCUUGGACGAUACGCAAAUACUCCCACAGACUGCCGAUGUUUGUUCUGGAUGUCUUAUCACUUGAUAAGUUAGAACACAAGCCUCGCGCAAACAACCUUAUCAUGGUAACAUUCUUACUGGAGACACAAAACUACUCCAUAGAAUCCAUUGCAAUCAGGCGUGACGCACGGAAUACCUGAAUUAAUUUUAAGCAGCCAUCUCUAAACGUAGUCAUGGAGGAAAUUUUGUUAGUGCAUAACAUUAAUUAGUUAUAUUUAUCAGUGCAAGUGUAUAUAUGCCAAAGAACACACCAAAUUUACAUCUCAAACUAGUCAGAUAAUAUCAUCAAACUGGAGGACUUACAAACAUUGGAAGGCGCAGAGACUGUGGUCGAGAAUGCGAGCGUUAGGGCACAAGAAUGCCUGGAGCAGAAC